Molecule: ribosomal RNA, 586 nt
Filed under: uncultured bacterium
Lineage: Bacteria
Description: bacterial SSU rRNA
Rfam family: Bacterial small subunit ribosomal RNA
Source: RNAcentral
CCUACGGGAGGCAGCAGUGGGGAAUUUUGGACAAUGGGGGGCAACCCUGAUCCAGCAAUGCCGCGUGAGUGAAGAAGGCCCUCGGGUUGUAAAGCUCUUUUGUCAGGGAAGAAACGGUCUACUCUAAUACAGUGGGCUAAUGACGGUACCUGAAGAAUAAGCACCGGCUAACUACGUGCCAGCAGCCGCGGUAAUACGUAGGGUGCAAGCGUUAAUCGGAAUUACUGGGCGUAAAGCGUGCGCAGGCGGUUUUAUAAGACAGAGGUGAAAUCCCCGGGCUCAACCUGGGAACUGCCUUUGUGACUGUAAGGCUAGAGUGUGUCAGAGGGGGGUAGAAUUCCACGUGUAGCAGUGAAAUGCGUAGAUAUGUGGAGGAAUACCGAUGGCGAAGGCAGCCCCCUGGGAUAACACUGACGCUCAUGCACGAAAGCGUGGGGAGCAAACAGGAUUAGAUACCCUGGUAGUCCACGCCCUAAACGAUGUCUACUAGUUGUCGGGACUUAAUUGUCUUGGUAACGCAGCUAACGCGUGAAGUAGACCGCCUGGGGAGUACGGUCGCAAGAUUAAAACUUAAAUGAAUUGACGG